RNAcentral lists this unclassified non-coding RNA (378 nucleotides) under Hevea brasiliensis (rubber tree). The record is from RNAcentral. Lineage: Eukaryota; Viridiplantae; Streptophyta; Magnoliopsida; Malpighiales; Euphorbiaceae.
CAUAAUUCUGAAACCCCUGAAGAACGGGAUACCACCCUAGCAGUAGAGAAGCACACACACAUCUUGGAAGAUGUUGAUGGUGAGCUUGAAAUGGAGGAUGUGGCUCCCUCUUGUGAAGUUUAGAAGUUCAGCAGUUGGCAUUGCUGCAGUCAAUUCUGUAUGUAAUUUGCAAAAUCAAUUAGAACUGCAUUUUCCACAGCCUUUUGCCCCUCCUCUGCCUCAGGAUGUGCCACCAUCAUCACCACCAUUGCCAACUUCACCUCCUCCACCUCCACCUCCACCACCUCCUCUUGCUGUCCCACAUUCAUGUGGAAUGCCUGAUCCAUACAUUAGUGGUGUAGAUUCAAAGCUUUAUGCAAAUUCACAUAAUAUGCAAGA